CUAGAUCUCCAAAUCCACCAACAAGCACGUGAAAAUGAGGUACCUUUUGGUCGAUUUAGUUGCACACUCACCCACUGUCUUGUGUCAGUUGGAACCAUCCAUACAUAUUAAGACCUAUCCAUAGAUUCUUAGCACUGCUACAAUCACGAAGUGGGUGAAUGAUGGUCUCCUCCUCCAAGCCACACCUGUUACAAAAGGAUCAAGAUGAAGAUGUCACUUAAAGCGAAAAUGGUUAAUAAGAAGCCUAUUGUGAAGUAGCCAAAAAUAGUAUUUGAUGUAACACUUUAACGAAUCACACUGAAAAGAGAGAUUUAGAAGUCGUACAACUGAGUUAUAGUUAUAGUUGAUAAACCUACACCAACAAUAUGCAUAUAUUUUUUGGUAGUUCAUCACUUAAGAACUUUACAAUUAAACGUGUUUGACUUGAAGCAAUUAUGGGAUGAGUGACCUUUUGGAAAGUUUUUCAGAAAACGUGUGAGUGAGAAUAAAGCACAUCGAAAAGUUUCGUAUUAAUUUGUGGGGAUAGUCAUUGCUCUUGAAAGUAGCUGAAGCAGAUUGUUGAGGUCUCAAAAAAGAGUUCCUAUGAAGGGUUUUGACCGAUGGAGAAUUCUGAUCAACAAUGAUGUUGAAUGAAGUACCAUAGUGUGUGAAUCGUUGAGAGGUCGACAAUUUAAGGAAAAAAAAUCCUAGAAGACAUAUGACCCCAAACGAUAACAUCAUUUGCAUGUUCAUCUAGCAUGAGACUAAGCAACUUGUGUUUAAUGUGAGAAGGAAUUUGUGUAGCAAUAUUCUGCCAUUGCCAAAUACCUUGAACCAAGGCAUCACUAACUCUUAAUUGAGUGUCACUUAUAAGAGCAUAAUCAAGUGACUUGCAAGGAUUAUGAUCCAGCCAUUUGUCAUAAAAUAAUGAAAUAUCGCCAUGCCCUACUUUAAAUGUAAAGCUCAACUUCAACUCCUUGAAAGCUAACGUAAUAGUUGUCCAAGUGUAAGGAGAACCUUUAUUCAAGGAUAUUUGAAACAAUGAGGAUUUGGCAAAUACUUGUCACCCAUAAUUUUGACCCAAAGUUUAUUUGAGUCAUGAAGAAUGGUCUAUAUGUGCUUAUUCCAUUUAACCCAAUAAGAAGGAAGACUACCCCAAAUGAAGCCACAAAUAUUCUUAUCAAUUGUAUCACAAAUCUCUUCUAGAAGCCAAAUAUUCUGCAUAAUAUAAUUUGGAAUAGUAGAAAGAAUAGAAUUUGCCAAAGUUACUCUACUUGCACAAUUGAGUAACUUACUCUUACAACCUGACAAACAAUUAUUGAAUCGAUCUAGAAUGUAGGAAAAUUGGCUCUUAAUAACUCUUCAUGGGUAUAAGGGAAGUCCCGAAUACUUCUCUAAAUUAGUGGUGUGACGAAAGCUAACUAUAAAAGCAAACUUAUUUAUCUUUUUUAUAGGAACAUUCUUUGAAGCAAGGAAACCAGAUUUUUGAGAAUUAAUCUUCAAUCCCCAACAAGACAAAACUUUUGAAUAGUAUCUUGAAUGAGUUUAGCCCGGGAACAACUUGCCUUAAUACAAAGAAGGCAAUCAUGAGUAAAGAAAAUGUAGGAUAUAGAAGGACCAUUCUUUGAAAUCUUAAUGGGUUUCCAUGAACCAUUAUCAACAUGCUCUUGAAUUAAUAGGGCUAGCUUCAGCAUACAAAAAAGAAAGGUACAAAGACAUAUGAUCACCUUGAUGAAGACCUCUUCUUGGGACAAAACUUUCUUGAAUUUCAUUGUUCCAUUUCAAAGAUAAAUUGGUAGAAGUGGUACUAUGCAUGAUAUGAGGUUAAUGAUUUGCGAUGGAAUGUCAAAUUCUAAGAUAGUCAAAUAGAUAAAUUGGUAAAAGUGACAUAAUAAAUACUUAUUAAAUACAUUGCUUUUUAUCUCACUAACCCAAUAAAGAUUAAUUUUUUUCAAAGAAAGUAAAUUAUGAUUUUUUUAUAAUUUACAUUAAUUUUUAUAUUUUAUGGUUUUAGGAGAAGUGUUAUAUUCCUUGUAGCUUCAUCCUCUCGUUUGUUGAGCCUUUAUGAGGAGUCAUUUUCAAAGGCUUUGAUUGUGUCAAACUAUUUUUUCUUCAAACUUAGUUGGUCUUUGUUGAGGAGACCCUUGAAGUGUGUUAACCACUUUAUCAAGAGAGGUCAUACUUCCCAUAGAGCCCAUUUUCUUCCCAUAGACCACUUUUGGACUAGUGCCUUGGUUUGUUACAAGGCCAAGGUAUUUGUUCCCUAGUAUAAACAUAAAGAAAGGAGGAUUGAAGAUGGGUAGUCAAGGAACUAAAGGUAACCCAUCAAAGGUUUUGGAAGACCAUUGUUUAUUGGUCAUAUGGUGCUUUAAUCUCAACCUUUUCAAGGCAGGGAACCCUAUAUGAGAUCAUCUUGUUCGUCUACGAUUACCAUGCCUACUAACAAUUGUAGGUUGAGAAUAGAUGUUCCCUUACCCUUGUUCACAUAAGUUUCUCUAGCAUCCAAGGGGAGCAAUUUGCUCAAUUUCACUCAUUCCUAUGAUAUUGAUGGCAAAGGUGCAAGCUUUUCUCGUUAGGAAUUACUUUUUGUACCCUAUAAGUGGGAAAUGACUCUAGUUAUGUGUAAUUCUACAUUUUCACACCAAAAGGUGUUGAAAAAUAAGAAACACGCUAAAAAGAGGAUUGAAUAAUGUGUAUGCCUAUUUUGUAAAUUUUUUUAAAUCUUUUUGCAAAACUUUAGAUGAAAACAAGUUCGAAAACACUUUAUCCAAAAGAGAGAGUGAGGGACAAAAAAAAGGCUAAAUCACAAGAACACAAGUUAUUAUACUAGUUCAUUCAAAUUGAGUUUCCUUCAACUUUAGAAGGAUUCUACUAACCAAAACAAGGUUACAAAACAAGUAUUCUCUAUCCUACUUUUGCCUACACUAAGUAUUCAUUAUGUCACUUCUAUCUACAACAAAAAAUAUCACCCUAAGAUUGAAAAACAAGAGUAUUCUUUAACAUGAAGCCACUCUUGACCUUUCACAAACAACAUAGUGUUUGAAAAGAUUACAGGAAUCUACUCACAGUGUGAGGAUAUAAAAUUUUGGCACAUAUUACAAAUGACUUUGUAAAGCAAAGGAUGAAUUAUUUUUUAGAACAAAUUGUUUCAUCCAAAGAGUUGUAUCAAAGUAAAAUGUUUGAGUGAAUAGGCAUUUUGGCCCCUGUCUUCAUAGUCAUUUUGCACAUUAGUCCCUAUCUUUUUAAAAUGUAAAAAAUAGUCCAUAUCUUUGUAUAAGUUUUGCAAAAUAGUCUUUCCAUUAAAUUUUAAAGUAAUACCGUUAGUGAGGUGUAGUGUUGGCAAUUUUAGUGCCACGCAGACUAUCUAAUGUGGCACUAAAGUAUGACCAUGACCACCCAACCCCACUUUUAUUUCCAUUUCUCAGCAAACUCCAAAGUCUUCUUCACUUCCCUCUGCUGCAUCCGCUUCAGCCUCUCACCAUCCACAAACACAACGUUUUGGAGUGGCCUAGCGCCGGCUGCAACAAUCUCGGUGAUUAGUAUCUUCCACCGACCCCAAGAGGGUCCACCAAAACACCAGAUUUGGGUUUGUGUCAAGUUUUCCAGUUCAAGAAAGACUAUUACGCGUUCUACGACAAGGAAUGUUCGAGGAUUGCAGAGCAUGUGUACUUGGGGAGUGACACGAUGGCGAAGAGUGUCGAGCUUCUGCGGCAGCACUGAUGGCCUUUCUCUUUCUCUUUCUCUUUCGAUUUCGCUUAAAAAUCCAUUUUUUAUUUUCUGUGUACGGCUUUUUCUGAAAUUAAUUUAUACGCAGAUGAAUAAUUGAUUUGGAAUUUGUUUCUAAGAACCCCUUGUUUUGUGGGUAGCUUCCUACUUUGUGGUGGAAUUAGAGAAAUUGAUCUGGGGUAUCUGCUAAGAAUCCCAACUUUGUGAUCGUGUGAAGAAUGUUUUAAUGGGUGUUUGGAAACUCUUGAUCUUCUAUUUUCUUGUUUUGGGCUUUUAAAAGGCUUGAAUUAGCAUGUCCCCACUUUGUUGUUUUAGUUUGUGGGUGAAAUGAAUCCUUUUUAACUCAUUGAUGCUUAUAAGGUUGUUCAGUUUUGAUUGCAUAUGGAAAAUUCUGGAGUUUUCUCAUAGAGUAUUAGUGGCGUGAUAAUUGUUAAGCUUUGAGAAUACAAAUUUAGCUCCAUUGACAAGUGCACAAAAUAGUUCUGCACACAAUAUUUUAAAUAGAAUUAUGCUAUUUGUCAAUUACUAAAUUCCAUUGACAAGUGCUAUUAUUCAAAUUAUUUGGUUUUCAGAGUAUGCGGUGAAAUUGGUUAGGUGGCCUUAUAGCAGGGUUCUGUUCUGUGUCUCUUGACAGAAUUUCAUAGUUUUAUAUUUUAAUAAUGCGAAGGCAUAAAAAAUAUUCACAUAAUACUUGUUUUCUUUUUCCAGAGAAAUCAAUGGCCGAAUAUAACAAUGAAAGUUAUGUGAAUGAUCUGGAUCUGCCAUUGCUUGAUUUGUCAAUAAUCAUUGCGGCCACAAACAAAUUCUCAAAGGGAAACAAGAUUGGAGAAGGUGGCUUUGGAUCUGUAUAUUGGCUAAUUCAAUAUUUGGAUUCUAAUAAUAAUACUCAAAUACUCCACGAGUAAAAUAUCUAUAUAAUUAUAGUAUAAAGAGAAUCUACUCAUAAAUGUGAUUAUGUAGGGAAAAUUAGCUAGUGGGCUAGAAAUUGCUGUGAAGAGACUCUCAAAGAACUCGGAUCAAGGAAUGAGUGAGUUUGUAGACGAAGUAAAACUGAUUGCAAGAGUUUAACACAGAAAUCUUGUAAAGCUUCUUGGCUGUUGCAUUCAGAAAAAAGAGAAAAUGCUAAUUUAUGAAUACAUGGUUAACGGAAGCCUUGACUACUUCAUAUUUGGGAGUGAAUAACAAAAAGGAUUAAUUGAAAAAGGUAAUAAAGGAUUAAUUUAGCUCUAUUGUCUCUAUGUUUGCAUUCGUUGAACCUUUGAUGUAUUACCUGAUAUGUUAUCAAAGAUUUUCUUGUUUACUAACUCACUCUCCCUUUAUAUCUCAAUUUUUUAUCUGUGCCCCGUCAUACUUUAGUGUCACGUUGGAUAGUCUAUGUGACACUAAAAUUGUCAACAAUGCACCUCACUAACGGUGUUACUUUAAAAUUUAACGGAAUGACUAUUUUAGAAAACUUAUGCAAAGAUAGAGACUAUUUUUUACAUUUUAAAAAGAUAGGAACUAAUGUACAAAAUGACUACAAAGACAGAGACCAAAAUGCCUAUUCACUCAAAAUGUUUUGUUCAAAGUAUUUGUUAGUCUCAUAUAUUCCAAUAAAGUAAUGAUACACAAAUCCCCUUUUAUUUUGAACACUAAAACACCACACCAACACCUCCAAUUUCUCUCUCUAUAUCUGUCUUUCAAUCAUAUCAUAAACUCUAUCAUAUCUAUAUUUGCUCUCUUUUUCUAAGUAUUUGAUAACACAUUGGGUGUUUAUCAAAUAUUUUCCCUUCUAAUAUUCUCUUCAGAUCUCUUACAAGCUUGAGAGAACUUGUAUCCAUUGUGAGAUAUUACAAGCUUGAGAAGUUUCUUCCCAUUGUGAGCUUCAUUUAAUGCAUGGAAAACUUAAAGCAUUAUUAUUUUUUAUGUCUACUUUUCAGGAGGAGAGAGAAUGAAUAGGUGUAUUUUUUUGCCUAAAAAGUACUAAUACUCUUUGAAAACUUGUACUGCUUUUUCUGCUUAUACCCACUUUAGUCUUCUCUCUGUACUAAACCUUGAAAUGCAUCUUUGCUUUCAAUCAAAGGUUACACUUAUACUCAGAAAAUAUUACUUUUCAUUAAAUACUUGAAAUUAAUGCUAGAGCAUAUUCAGAAAAUAGAGGAAAUAUAAGACAUAUAAGAGCAGUUUAAAACCUUAGCAUCCAAAAGCGUAGAAUAAAGAGUUCAUCAUAUGUUCACCUUGGAUGAAGAAAACUUGUGUGAAAAUAUAAAUCAGAGUGUAAGUUUUCUUAAAACAGUUGAAUGAAAUCAAUGUGGUGGAUGUUGGAUGGUUUACGAAAAGAACACUUCAUAUGCAAGUUCAAUUAUUUAGCGCUUUGGACCCUUGUUCUUUAUAUGUGUAACGGUUGGUUAAGUUAGCCACAAUUAAUAGAAGUUUCCCCUAUAUUUAUAGGGGUCAAAGUGGAUAACUAGUAAGUUUGGAAUGGAUCCUUACUUGUAGGUUAGGGAUCAACGUAAAAGCAGAUUAUUCAUCAGUUGAUUGCAAAACUUUUCCUUAAUCCAUGAUGAGAUAUUAGUAUGAAGUUUUGUGAGUAGGCCUUUGUCAAGAGGAUGUGACAUAUUGGGAUAGCCUUCUCAAGGAAGGAUGCUCUAAGAUGAUGGAUACUUUUACGAGAGGGAUUAGCCUUAGAGGACUCCAUUAAUCAGUGUUUGAGAUUACUUAAGAUAAUUAAGUACUUAAAGAUUUAAAUUCAAGAUAUUAAAAUAAUCUCGCAGUUAAUCUAUAUUUUCUUUCAGUGGAUAGAAUUUACCAAACUUUAAAAGCCGAGCAAAAAUUUCAAAUUUAUUAACUGUAGACAAUUUUAACUCAAAAUCAAAAUAAAAGAAAGAAAAUCAAUUGUAUAUCAAAGUUGUGGCUUAACGCCAUAACAUACAUCUUAUCAUCCCUUAUAUGCACACGGUAUAUUGUGUUAAUAAACGUGGCGUUGAAAAGAAAGUUUCAGAAAGAUUUCACUGUCUUUUCUUUUUACAUAUGCUCUGUGACACAAACUCCCUCCAUGACAAUUAGGAAAAAAGAUGAAAAGUAGAUUUUCUACAUAUUUCUGCCUAAAGAGAUUAUUAUGGGAGGUUAGAGCCAAUUUUAUUGCCAGGAAACCGUGAAUCUCGUGUGAAAUGGUACUUCAGUAUUUACUCCAUUACACAAUAUUGGACCACAUCUCUUUAUUUAAUAUUUUAAAUUAAUAUAUUAUAGAAUUAAGUUGUUAUCUAAAUUUAAUUAUUUUUAAUUUUGAUUUGAUUAUUUGAAUUUUUAUACAUGUAGAAUAAAAAAUAUCAUAUCUUAUCUUCAGUGUCAAGAAUUUCAACGUCCAUCUCUGGCUGCUUGUAUUUUUCAUAAACAUAUAGUCCCAUCAUCAGAAAUAUUCAAGAUUUGACAUCUAGGCUCAUAUUGUGCGACUGUGUGGUAGCAAAGUUGGUUAUCUGAAAUAUAGUCCCAUCAUCAGAAAUAUGCAAACUCCUUCCAUGGGACUUUGUCAUUGGUUAUUGAGUUACUUAUUAGAGAUGGUCGUCUACCUUUCCUCUAUUUUGUUUGAAUCAUUAUAUUUUGUGCACCUAAAUGAUUGAAAGAUUCAAGCAACAUCUUUUAUUUCUUGUCAUAUUUUUUUUUAUCGUGUUGUAUCUUUAAUUAUAUCAAAUUAUUUAUCUUUCUUUCUCUUCCUAUCUUUGUAGAUAGAUGUCUUCAUUCAAAAGAUAUCUACCAGUUCUUUUUUCUUUUUGUUCUCCUAUUUUAUUCAAACAAAUUUUUUUAAACGUUUCUUAAUUUCUUCCUUCAUUUUAAUUUGUUGUAUUAUAUUGUUUGAUAUCAUGCUUGCGUCACUAAAAUAUUGUGUUUUUUAAAAUAUUAUGUUUAAACAUAAUAGUAAUACUAUUUCAGAUAAAUUUCUCAUUAAAAGAAAAUAUUGAUAGGAGAAAAUUAAAAAUAAAACAAAAUUAUUUUAUAUAUUAAAAUCAAUUUUAUGUAUCUUAAUAUGUAAAGUUGGAAAAAAAAGAGAACUUAUAUAAAAAAAUUAAAUGUAUAAAUUUAUUUUAAAUUAUGAAAAAAUAACUUAUGAUUUUCUUAUUUCUUGUUAUAAAUAUUUAUUUAAAAAUAUGUACAAAUAAGAUCAUAAAAAUAACCUUUUCUUUCAGAUUUAAUCGCAUAACCAGUGGAAAGAAAAGUUUUUCACUAUCCGAAAAAAAAUGAAUAUUACCCCUUUCAAAAAACAAGAUGAAUAAGUUGGCAUCUUCCACAUCAAAGGUACGUACAAUCAUUUGUACAUAUAACAAAACAACAAUAUAUUCUUUGCCAUCAAGGCUCAAGCGCAUGCCAUUGCUUGGGAGGUCGCCAACGAAGCAAGGAAUAUAAUUGAUUAUUAUUGGUAAAAACCUACAUAUUGUUUUUAGAAGCAAACUUUAACAUUGCUUAAAUGGAGAGAAAGUUUUAGACGCACCCAAUCUUUUUACUACCGAAAAACAAAAAACGUUGUGCAUAUUUUCUAAAAAAAUUGGAAAUUGAAAUAUUGUUGUGAAUUAUUAUAGCACAAUCAAUUAGUUUGCUAAAUUUGUAAUAAAAGUUUCCCAUGUCAAUAGGCUUCACUGUCUUUUACAUAUGCUCUCUCACAACAUAAACUUGUUUUUUGAAGGGACUCAGGACAUAAACUUAUACAGCCGUUAUCAUUUUUUCUGGUAUACCACCAUUAUAAUACUAAUAUUCAACAUGUGUAAUAUAUAUGAUCAUCAUUUACUUUUAUGUAUUUACAAACAAAAAAAACAUUUAUUUUAAUGUGAAAAUUAUAAUAGAUAGACAUUUUUAAAUAAGUUACUAUUUAAAAAGUUUUUCAUAAGGGUAUCUUCAGUUAAACUAGUUUAUAAGUUAUAAGUUAGAACUCAAAAGCUAAUUAAAAAUUAACUGAUUUAAUUGAAAAUAUUUGAUAAGACUAAUUGAUAAAUUAACUAAUAAAUGUUAAAUGAUGUAAAAUGAUUAUUCAAGUGUGUAGGGUUUAGUUAACAAAAGGAAAAGUUUUGCUUUUACGAAUUGAAUGAAUAAAAUAAAAAUCUUGUAAUGAAACAAAUUAGGUCAUAUAAUUUUAGAAUAAAAAAAUAGAAUAACUUGCCAAAUAAUUGUAAAGUGUAUAUGUUUAAAAAAAUUAUAUCCCUAAAAAACACUGCACAGACGACAAUAGAUAAGUUAACUCCACUUUAUAUGUUAACUACUAUGUGCGUCCCGGGCGUAUAAGAAAGAAAAAUUAGAUAGAGGGAUGUUUUCAUACAAAGAACAAAAAAAAAGAGGGUUUUUAAAAAGAAAUAUAUAUAUAUAUAUAUAUAUAUAUAUAUAUAUAUAUAUAUAUAUAUAUAUAUAUAUAUAAGGCUUUUUUAAUUAAAUAAAAGGUUAAAAUAAAAUUUCAAAUAAAAUAGUAAAAAUAAAAUUGAAAAGAAAAAACUAAUAAUAUAUAUGAUAACUUAUUUUUCAUCUAUAUCAAACAAGUUUAUUUUGUCAAAUGAGCAUAUAAACUAAUUAAAGAAAUUUAUAAGCUCCUGAAAGAUUUUACAAAUAUAACCUAAGUUUUUGAGAAACAAGAGUAACUAUUUUAAAUAUAGCAACUAUUUUAUGAGAAACAAGAAAAAUUAUUUCACAAUUUUCAUUUCUCUAUUUUUAUAUAAAAUCUUUAAAAUGCUUAAAAGUAUCUUAUGUUUAAUUAUUUUUAACACUAAUUAAGAACAAUAAAUAAGUUUCUUCUAAAAAAAUAAGUUACUUAUUGAAACUAUAUUACUAAAAUGUUAUUACUCUUCAUAAAUGUGUUACUUGUAACUAUUGAAUAGUUAUAAAUUGACAAGGCACAAUACUAAAAAUUAUUAGAAUAUUGAUGUAAUUUAUUUAUAACAAAUUUAGAAUAAAAGUUUUAAUAUCUCAAUUUGUAAAUUAAAAAUAUUAGAAAAUAUCAUAUUUUUAAAAAUGUUAAAACAUCAGUAAUUUUAUAAUGGAGAGAGUAUAGGAGUAGAUCGUGAAAAAGAAAAAAAGAAAAUAGUAUUAAUUAAAUUUUUAGUCCCUUAAUUUUUUAGAUCCUAGUUUUUAGUCUUUAGUUUUUUUUUAACUUUUAGUCCUUCAUUCAUUUUUCAUCAAGAUUUCUAGCCUCUCUUUUUUCCAUUUAUAGUCCUUUAUUUAUUUUAAUUGCCCAAAAUUAGUUCUAAAUAAAAAUAAUAAGCAAAGAACUAAAAAUAAGUAAAAUAUGAACUAAUUUUGAGCGGUUUCCAUUUAUAGUCCUUUAUUUAUUUUAAUUGCCCAAAAUUAGUUCUAAAUAAAAAUAAUAAGCAAAGAACUAAAAAUAAGUAAAAUAUGAACUAAUUUCGAGCGGUAGAAAUAAACAAGGAACUAAAAUGGGCAAUUUUUUUAAAAAGAGGAUUAAAAAUAGUAAAUGAAAUUUUAAAAUGUAAAAAUUUGAAAUUUAAAAAAAAUAAGAGACUAAAAACUUAACUAAUUUUAAAAAAAAAUUAGCCAAGUUUCAAAAAAUUAAGGGAUUAAAAAUUUAAUUAAUCUAAAAAAUAUUUCUAUUUUUUUCUUUUUUAGGGGAAUUUUUUCUUCUUCUUUAAUUUAGUUGUAUCGUAAAUACCAGGCUUGUGUCGGUUAACAAACAAAAUAAAUAGUGUCCUUCAACACUAUAAUGAAAGUUCUUACACACAAUAAAAGAAACUUUUCCUUUGCAUUAAAUGCACAGAAAAUAAAUUUACAUUUAUGCUCUUUCUGAAAAAAAUAAAAUAUCAAUUGAAUUAGUUGAAAUAUUGUACUCCAUUAAACGUACAAAUACAAUUAAUUACAGUUAAUAAAGUAACAAUACAUUGUUUGCCAACAAGCGCAUAUGGCCUUAUGAGGUUGCCAUCAAAGCAAGGAAUAUAACUUAUUGUUGUAAAAGCAAUCUAAAAGUUUUAGUUCAUGAAACUAACAUUAGCAUUGCAUUGUGGAAAGAAAUAUUUCAGUUGUACAAAUUGCAAAUUUAGUGAGUUAAAAGAGACCAAUCAAUUAGGUUGAUAAAUUUACAAUACAGCUUCUCCCGUGUCAAUAAGCAGUGCCGCCAUUCACCAAACGAGCAUAUCCUCUUCAAAAGAAUAAAAAUAUUGGAUAAAUAACUAUUUUUAUCCAUGAAUAUAUAAUUUAUUGAUAAAUAUAUUUUAAAAGAUAAAAAUAUAAAAUUUAAUUCCUGAAGGUGUAAAAAAAUACAAAAAAUAUAUUAUAUUGUUAAUUUUCAUCCACCAUUUAUAAAAUAACUUACAUGGUAUAGAAGGACGAAUUUAUUACUAAAAUGAUUGUCAAUAUGACUUGCUAAUUAGAUUGAACAAAAAUGUCAAUAAAAUAUCAUUUUUGGAUGUAAAUGUCAGUAAUUUUUUGUUGGAAGAAAAUGUCAAUAUUUUUUUAUUGGAGAAAAAUGUCAAUAAUUUUUUUUGACCUAAAUGUCAAUACGUUCCAUUGGACCAAAAAUGUUAAUAAGUUAUCAUUAUUAGACGAAAAUAUCAAUAAUUUUUUAUUGAACCUAAAUAUUAGUAUAUUUCUAUUGGAUUAAUUUGUUAGACCCAAAACUUCAUUUAAGGGUAAAAUAUAGUUUUAUGAUAAAUUUUUGUCAUUUUUUAUCGUUACAAGCAUAACAUUAUAAUAAUCAUUUAACAAAUAUAUUGACAAACAUAAUUUAAAACAAACAUAAUAAUAAUAAUAAUAAUAAUAAUAAUAAUAAUAAUAAUAUUGAUUAUUAACCAUAAUUUGUCUGUCACAAUAAAAAUUAUCCAAAAUAAACAUUGUACCGGUUUACCAAAAUAAAACAUUGUAACAGUAUACCAAUCAUUAUAAAUUUUUCCAAAUUACCCUAAAAGAUAAAUAUAUCCCAUAUUUCACUUCUUCGAAUCUUGGUUAUUUUUAUUAAUGAUGACGGACGGAAGUUAAUGACCAAAUAUAUUUGUCAUACUUUUUACACUUUAGAUUAAAUUUUAUAUUUUCAUCUUUUAAGGACGCAUUCAAAGAUAAUUACACAUUCAAAGAUAAAAGUGGAUAUUUGCCCAUUCAUAUGCCUAAAGAGUAGAAAGACGAAAAGUUAAGAAAAUAUUAUAUGACAAAUAUAUUCCUAUAUUGGUAAUUAGAAAUGAUCAUGUUAACAAUUCAGUGACAAAUUCGUUUUUCUGUGUCACGUAGGCUAUUUUAUUAACGGUGACGGACUAAAGUUAACGGUAAGAUAUAUUUAUCGUACGUUUUACACUUUCAGGACUAAAUUUUUUACUUUCAACUUUUAGGGAUGUAUUUAUCAAUAAAUUAUAUAUUUAGGGACAAAAUUGACUAUUUACCAAAAAUAUUUAUUAACUUUUUUAAUCAUAGUAUUGAUAUUAAGUUUGAACAUACAUAUGGAAGUAAUUUCUUUUCAUUAUUUCGUUCAAAAACCACCCGAAUCUUAUGCCAACGUUGAUUUUAUCAUUUUAAAAAAAUAGUAAAAUAAGAAUGUUAGCGAAUCAUUACGGUUUGAACAAGGUUUGGCUUUGGAGGUACAAAAUAAUAAUUUAUCCCAACACCUAGAAAAAAAAAUAAUAAGUAAAAGAUAUACCACAUUAAUUUUAAUUUGACUAAAUUCUUAUUUUCGUCCACUAAAAGGCAAACAUUGUCGCUUUAUUUUUUAAUAUUUUUAAAAAAUAUAUAUUUCGAUUUAAUACUCCAAUAAUAGUAUAAUACAAAGUCUACUUAAUUUAAUUUCUUGAUUAUAUCAAAUUUCAUGAAAUUAAUUCGUUAAUUAGUGUUUCGUUACAUUCGUGUAUCUCAAUUCAAUGAAAGAAAAUCAAUUUUGAAAAAUAAAAAUAAAACUAACCAAAUAUGCAAGAAUAAUUUAAUUUGAAUAAAUGAUUAUUUCGUUUUUUUAAAUAAAUCAAUUUAAACACGACUAAGUCCUUCAAAUUAACAUCACUGUGAAGGUUCAAUCACGGCAUAAGUUAUUCAAGCUAGUCCACGUCCAAGCAAAACACAUUUUGUGUAAAAAUGUAAACAAAUGUUUAUGAAAUAUAAAUAUGUAAAUAACUUGUAAAAUUAAUUUUUAUGUAUUAUUAUUGUAAAAAAAAUUAAUCAAUUAAAAAUCAUUAUUAUUAUUAUAUUUUAAAUAAUUAUUAUAAGUUUAUAAGUAUAAAACCUUUUGCACAAUCGGUGUCAUGUUAUUAGUACUAUUUUGACUAAAGUAUAAUUUUUAUUUUCCUAUUUUUUUAAUUUGCAAAUUUAAUCUACAUAUUUUUUAAAUGAGAUUUUAUUUUUUAUUUUAAAAAAAUUACAAUUUAAUAUCCUAUUUUUUAGUUGAGACAUUUUAUUCUUAUGUUUUGAAAACCUGUUAUUUUAAUUCUUUUGGUCAAUUUUAGACCGGUUGAUAGUAUAUUUUUUUGUAUUUUUAAUAAAUUAAGUUUAUUAAUAAUUAAAUAAUUUUUAAAAAAUAUUUAUCAUGUGCAUAAUAAAUAAACACUCGCCGAUCAACAUUUACAUAGUACAUAAAUUAAUGUUUAAAAUUAGGCACAUGAACUAAAAUUACUAAAUUUUUAAAAUGAGAAACAAAAUAUCUUAAUUAAAAAUAGAGACUAAAAUGGUACACUUUUAAAAAGUGAUGAUAAAAUAUCUCAAUUAAAAAAAAAUUAAAAACACAAAUUAAAAAAAUGAGAAAACAAAAAUUGCAUUUUAAUUUAUAAUUUUUUUAUAAACUUCUAUACUUCUACCACCAAAGAAAAAAUUAGUCAACUCGCAAAAAAUGUAAUGUAUGUCGUGUCAUUUAUAUACAAAUUAUUAAUUAAAUAAAAAGUUAACAAAUUCCGGUUCUCCGCAAAACGCCGGUCACGUAUCACUCGGGGAAUAGACUUGGUAAUCAAACACUAUUAAAAAAAAUAGUAAAAUAAUAAAUAAAUAAAAUAAAAAAAGCUACUAGUAGCAAGUACGAGUAAGAAACUAGACCACAAACAUUCAAUGAACCAAUAAUGAUCUACCCAAAAUGCAAGAAACCAAUAAUGUGGUCUAGUUUCUUACAUCAAUUAAUCAUUAUUAUCUUAUCUUAAAUAUCUAAACCAAAGUCAACACCCUUCUAAUUACAAACCAUUAAAAUUUCAUCAAAACCAUUAACCAUUUCUCUUUCCCCUACCAUUAUCUUAAUGUUUGUUCACCAGCGCAUGCUAAAAAAAAAAACACAUUUUUCUUCAUCAGAAAUAAAAAAAUAAAUCAUUUAAUAUUUAUUUUUAAGUAAUUAAAAACAUUUAAUAAGAUGCACUUAAUACCCUCAAAUUCAUUUAUGAACACACAUUAAAAAACUUUUUUUUUCUCUCAUCACAACAAGUAUUAGGUAUCACAGUUACUUUUUUUUUCUGAUUUUUUUCUAUUUUGAUCAAUUAACUAAGUAACUAACAAACAAACCAUUUUAAAAUUAAUAGAUAAUAAUAGCAAUAAUAAGAAGAAACACCUAAAAAGGUAUUGUAAUCCCGCAAACCCUUUUCCUUAUCCAACUUGUUUAACAAAACAAAGCUGUUCCUCCGUCUUUUUUCCAUCAACCCAAGUAACUAAAUUUCUUUGACCCUCUCUUGCUUCUCUCUCUAAAUUCUUACACCCUCUCUCUCUCUUCCUUUUUCUCUUAUUCCCAUUUUUCCAAUUCUCUCACGUUGAGAAACCCUCACUAAGCAACCUUUUUUACUCUUUCUAUAUUUGUUUUUGCAAGAACAAGACAAAGCUUCUCCCUUUAAAUUAUCCGUCAGAUCCCCCCUCUCUAUUUCUCUUUCUCUCUCACAACGACACCAUUGCUUGGGUGCAUAAUAAUAUAAAAGUCCAAAACGGUAUCGUAUUUUAAAUAAAACGUAAUAAAUGAGGUGUAAGAAACACUUACCGGACCUCACCAGCACCAUCGGCGUGUGCGCUUCGUGCCUCCGCGAACGCCUCCAGCCUCUCCUCGCAGCCCAGGCCCAAGCCCAGGCCCAAUCAGAACGUUCCACCACCAAUUCCAACGUGGAUAAUAAUCAUCGUCGAAGAAAGCCC
Molecule: long non-coding RNA, 14733 nt
Filed under: Glycine max (soybean)
Lineage: Eukaryota; Viridiplantae; Streptophyta; Magnoliopsida; Fabales; Fabaceae
Description: long non-coding RNA (GMAX_LNC000603)
Source: RNAcentral